Long non-coding RNA from Salvelinus fontinalis (brook trout), 7953 nucleotides. RefSeq lists it as uncharacterized. The transcript has 2 exons. The record is from RefSeq and is a predicted model, not a curated record. NCBI's taxonomy places the organism in Eukaryota, Metazoa, Chordata, Actinopteri, Salmoniformes, Salmonidae.
AAUGCUGUCUCUUUCUUACACUCCUCCUCUAAAGGAGCUGCCGUGCCUAAGACGAAGAGAGGCAUCCAUUACAGUCACAGAGCAUAGGACUGAGAGCUGCUAAAGGUGGCUACACGGUUUACGUGCGUAGAUCUACGCGCAGGCCUGUUAGUGGGUGGAUUUUUUUUGAGCAGCCAACUCUUUUCGUUGCGUUCCAGCCAGAGAGGAAGUCCACCUUGUGUAGUGUUUAUCCACUAGGGGGCUUGGGGAGCUAGAGUAGCUUACCAAGCAAUAGGGGUCGAGGCACUCUUUUUGACUAGCUAGCGACAACAUUUGAACUUCCGGAUCCGGUACUAUAUGCCUGUUUACAAAUACUAGCUAGCUAGCAAGCUACAUGUUAGGCUAAUCUGGUGUUCUAUCUUUUACGACGCGACUUCUUAGCCACAGAAACAGAAGCAAACAUGUCUGUCUAUGAACUGCAAUUGCUAGAGUUUGAACUGCUCUUACUACUAAGGAGGAGAAGAAAAACACCCCAGAGAAAAUGGCGAGUUCGUCCACUGAACACUACAGAGGGGACGAUGGGGGAAUACUCAUCUCUUGUCCAACCUAUGCGAAGCAUUGACUAGGAAAGACAUUUUAAAUACUUUCUUCAGCGGCUUGCCCCGCACAUCUCGCAGGAAAGAACUCACAGCUUGCCCGUAAUUGGUACAGGAAGGCUCUCUGUGACCCUUUGGUUUUUGGCGAGUGGCAGCACACAGCAAAGUUAUAAGCUAGGAAUCUCAACAAUUUGUGCCAUCGUCAUGAAAUUGUGCCAAGCUAUCUGGCAUGUCCUGAAGAGGGAUUUUGUUGCUUAUCCCUCCGUGGAAAAUGGGCUUCACCAUGAUUGACGUGGGCACAUAGUCAGGAAGGAGAUGCAGGAAUCUUCUCAUGAAGCAAGUUCUGCUACCAAUUCAUAGCAGGCCAGCUGCCGCUACCAAGGCCAGAGUGCUUGCCCAAACACCGAGCCUGUCUUUGUGGGAGACGAGGCAUUCCAUCUGAUGGUAAACCUGAUGCGACCAUAUCCAGAAGAUCUACAACUACCACCACUCAAGAGCCAGAAGAAUUUCAGAGCUCUGCUUUGGGAUCCUUCCUACAAGAUGGAGGAUCCUGGGAGAAGCCCUUGAGGUUGCCCCAGAGAAACCUGAGACUAUUAUGAAGGCCUGUGUGGCCAUCUAUAAUUAAAUUUCCACUACAAACACUGACAACAGAGUCAUCAACCCCACGUUUGUUGUCCACUCCACACCCACUGGGGACCUGCAUCCAGAAGAGUGGAGACAGGUGGUACAAGUGGACAUUAGUUUCCUGGUCCCAAGAAACAUGUCGGCAGACAGGGAAACCAGAGUUGCUAUAUACGUGCGCAACAACCUCAAGGACUACUUCCUCACACCAGCUGGUCAAGUGUCUUUCCAGGAUGCUGCCAUGACGCGUUGCACCUAACAGUAAAUUCUGGAGUGUGGUUUGGAAAACAUGUACACAUACAGUGCAUUCGGAAAGUAUUCAGACCCCUUGACUUUUUUCACAUUUUGUUAUGUUACAGCCUUAUUCUAAAACGGAUUACAUUUAAACAAAUGUACAAAUCCUCAAUCCUCAUCAAUCUACACAAUACCCCAUAAUGACAAAGUGAAAACAUACUUUUAGAAAUGUUUGCAAGUGUAUAAAACUUUUAAAACAGAAAUAUCUUAUUUACAUACAGUUGAAGUCUGAAGUUUAUAUACAUCUUAGCCAAUUACAUUUAAAUUCAAUUUUUCACAAUUCCUGACAUUUAAUCCAAGUAAAAAUUCCCUGUCUAAGGUCAGUUAGGAUCACAACAUUAUUUUAAGAAUGUGAAAUAUCAGAAUAAUAGUAGAGAAUUAUUUAUUUCAGCUUUUAUUUCUUUCAUCACAUUCCCAGUGGGUCAGAAGUUUACAUACACUCAAUUAGUAUUUGGUAGCAUUGCCUUUAAAUCGUUUAACUUGGGCCAAACGUUUCAGGUAGCCUUCCACAAGCUUCCCACAAUAAGUUGGGUGAAUUUUGGCCCAUUCCUCCUGACAGAGCGUGUAUAACUGAGUCAGGUUUGUAGGGUUCCUUGCCCGCACACGCUUUUUCAGUUCUGCCCACACAUUUUCUAUAGGAUUUAGGUCAGGGCUUUGUGAUGGCCACUCCAAUACCUUGACUUUGUUGUCCUUAAGCCAUUCUGCCACAACUUUGGAAGUAUGCUUUGGGUCAUUGUCCAUUUGGAAGACCCAUUCGCGAGCAAGCUUUAACUUCCUGACUGAUGUCUUGAGAUGUUGCUUCAAAAUAUCCACAUAAUUUCCCUCCAUCAUGAUGCCAUCUUUUUUGUGAAGUGCACCAGUCCCUCCUGCAGCAAAGCACCCCCCACAACAUGAUACUGCCACCCCCAUGCUUCAAGGUUGGAAUGGUGUUCUUCGGCUUGCAAGCAUCCCCCUUUUUCGUCCAAACAUAACGAUGAUCAUUAUGGCCAAACAGUUCUAUUUUUGUACGAUCUUGGUCCCCAUGUGCAGUUGCAAACCGUAGUCUGGCUUUUUUUAUGGCGGUUUCGGAGCUGUGGCUUCUUCCUUGCCUUUCAGGUCAUGUCGAUAUAGGACUCGUUUUACUGUGGAUAAAGAUACGUUUGUACCCUUUUCUUCCAGCAUCUUCACAAGGUCCUUUGCUGUUCUGGGAUUGAUUUGCACUUUUCGCACCAUCUCUAGAAGACAGAACGCGGCUCCUUGCUGAGCGGUAUGAUAGCUGCGUGGUUCCAUGGUGUUUAUACUUGCGUACUGUUGUUUGUACAGAUGAACGUUGUACCUUCAGGCAUUUGGAAAUUGCUCCCAAGGAUGAACCAGACUUGUGGAGGUCUACAAUUUUUUUUCUGAGGUCUUGGCUGAUUUUAUUUCCCCAUGAUGUCAAGCAAAGAGGCACUGAGUUUGAAGUUAGGCCUUGAAAUACAUCCACAGGUACACCUCCAAUUGACUUAAAUGAUGUCAAUUAGCCUAUCAAAAGCUUCUAAAGCCAUAACACCAUUUUCUGGAAUUUUACAAGCUGUUUAAAGGCACAGUCAACUUCUGACACACUGGAAUUGUGAUACAGUGAUUUAUAAGUGAAAUAAUCUGUCUGUAAACAAUUGUUGGAAAAAUUCCUUGUGUCAUGCACAAAGUAGAUGUCCCAACCGACAGUUUGUUAACAAGAAAUUUGUGGAGUGGUUGAAAAACAAGUUUUAAUGACUCCAACCUAAGUGUAUGUAAACUUCCGACUUCAACUGUAAGCAUUCAGACUCAAAAUUGAGCUCAGGUGCAUUCUGUAUCCAUUGAUCAUCCUUGAGAUAGCAUUUCUACAACUUGAUUGGAGUCCACCUGUGGUAAAUUCAAUUGACUGGACAUGAUUUGGAAAGACACACACCUGUCUACAUAAGGUCCCACAGUUGACAGUGCAUAUCAGAGCAAAAACCAAGCCAUGAGGUCGAAGGAAUUGUCCGUAGAGCUCAGAGACAGGAUUGUGUCGAGGCACAGAUCUGGGGAAAGGUACUAAAAAAUGUCUGCUGCUUUGGAAGUCCCCAAGAACACAGAGGCCUCCAUCAUUCUUAAAUGGAAGAAAUUUUGAACCACUAAGACUCUUCCUAGAGCUGGCAGCCCAGACAAACUGAGCAAUUGGGGAGAAGGGCCAGAGAGGUGAUCAAGAACCCAAUGGUCACUCUGACAGAGCUCCAGAGUUCCUCUGUGGAGAUGAGAGAACCUUCCAGAAGGACAACCAUCUUUGCAGCACUCCACCAAAUCAGGCCUUUAUGGUAGAGUGGCAAGUAAAAAGCACAUGACAGCCCACUUGGAGUAAACCUGGCACCAUCCAGGGACUGGGAGACUAGUUAGGCUCGAAGGAAAGAUGAACAGAGCAAAGUAAUUGAGCUCAGAUUCAUUCUGUUUCCAUUGAUCAAAGGCAAACCUGGAUCAGUCUGCUUUCCACCAGACACUGGUAGACGAAUUCCCCUUUCAGCAGGACAAUAACCUAAAACACAGGGCCAAAUCUCCAAGUUGCUUACCAAGAAGACAGCGAAUGUCCUUGAGUGGCUGAGCUACAGUUUUGAAUUAAAUCUACUUGAAAAUAUAUGGCAAGACCUGAAAAUGGUUGUCUAGCAAUGAUCACCAACCAAUUUCACAGAGCUUGAAGUUGUUUUGAAAAUAAUAAAAUGGGUAAAUGUUGCACAAUCCAGUUGUGGAAAGCUCUUAAAGACUUACCCAGAAGAACAGCUGUAAUCACUGCCAAAGGUGUUUCUACAAAAUAUUGACUCAGGUGUGAAUACUUAUUUAAAUGACAUUUCUGUAUUUCAUUUUCAAUAAAUUUGCAAAAAUGUCUAAACCUGUUUUCACUUUGUCGUUAUGGGUUGUUGUGUGUAGAUGGGUGAGAUUUUUUUUUUGUAUUUAAUCCAUUUUGAAUUCAAGCUUUAACACAACAAAAUGUGGAACAGGUCAAGGGGUAUGAAUACUUUCUAAAGGCACUGUAGUGUAUUAUUAUUAAAUAUUUUUUCCAGUGCCUGUCGCUCAAAGGGAGAUUUCCUUCUUGGAGGACAUUACUCUCCUCAUCCAGCCAUUUCAAAAUGUCUUCCUAUAGUAUACUGUAGUAUACUGUUUUGCCAAAACGGUGCUCUGUGGAGUGAUAUUCAGCCAGACAUACAAUUCAGUGCAGGUCUCUCCAUCUAAGGUCAAAAACAUUUGACAAAUAGUGCUGUAUAACCGAAAGAUGUAAUGGCUUGUCAUGUCAACCAUCCUAGUCAAUACCACACAUCACAUUCAUUACUCUACAAUUUUGGAAAAGAGAAAGAAAGUGUGAGAUGAUCAAAAUGUGGAACAUAGACAGCGCCCCAUUUUAUGAAACCCCUAUUCUGAACUAUGUUCUGUACUCUUGAGAAUACACUUGUUGUACGUUUGGUGAGUGAAAGCCAGGAUGUUGGGCGUGCCCCCCCAUUGAUGGCCUAAAAUAGUAAUGUGCAGCUCUGCAAAGUAGAAUCCUCUCGCUCAUUCAUUAGCUGCUGUCACCUGCGUUUAUGUUAAAGAGCAAUACCUCUCCAAGCAGAUUCCAUUUAGUCCACACAAGAAGACGCAACGUGUUUUAAAGUCGUCCAUUUUCUGAAGGCUCACAAUGACCUCACUGACUUAGGCAAGACAUCACUUAGCUAUUUGUAAUGUGCUAUAGGUAGAGAAAGGCCAAUUGUAAAUGCUUAAUGGUAUUGUUUCUAAGAGCAUUGUCAAAGAUAACAGAUCAUUGUAACAUUAAUCAGAGGUAGACCCUUUAAAAUGAGAAAGAAAAAAAUACAAAACGAAGUUGAGAAACCAGCUGUAAAAACAUAGUUGAAACAGACAAGGCCAGAAAAAAAAACUUAAUGAGAGUUGGAGAAUUUUUUUAAUGACUUGUCAGGGGCUUUCACCAUAACAUAUAACCUGCGACUUGGUUUGGGGAUCCAGUUCAAAUAAACCAUUACACCACCAUUCUUGUGCUCCAGGCUCUGGGCUGUAUUUAAUGGAGCAUCCUGACAAAAAUAACCAAUAUCUAAACAUUGGCUACAUGGCAUUUUACCUAAGAAUGGUUUCAGCUCUUUUGUCUGUUCGGUUAGCUUUGGAUUUUCUUUUUAGUUUCACAUUCAACAAUUGAUUUCACUCCACAUACUCAGAGCUUCAGUGCCUACACUUUGACAGUCUAUAUAACAUCACUGUCUGUAGGGCCCCAGAGAUGUUGAAAAAAAGCAUAGCUUAAUCCAAAAUAGAUGCCUUUCCUGACAUGCAAAACAUUUUUCAAACUCUACGCUUCCUCUCUCCAGUUUCUACAGCAGGAGUAGAAUCAGAUCCAUUUGGCUCUGAGCGGUUACUGUUUCAGUAUGAAUAUACUGUAAAUGAGAAAAAAGCAUGAUGCUAUCUGAACUCAGUCCAACUUCAGCCUUAUGUUGGACUAGUUUUCAUGAGGAAAAGUCUGCAAACCAGAUAGGGCCCAUUCACAGACAAUGUGUUUCUUCUAUCCCAAGAAUUUACUGCAUGCUGCUCUCAUUUUAUAGAUCCCUUAAUUCUGUUUGGUCUUGAAAUAUAACUCAAUAGGCAAUACCAUCAGAGACCAAUGUAAAUGUUUAAUAUUCAGCCAUUUCAAAAUAUAUAAUUAGCAACAUCCUGACAAAUAAACUUUAUUUUAUUUUAUUUAUUUAUUUAAAAAAAAAAUUAUCCCCUUUUCUCCCCAAUUUUCGUGGUAUCCAAUCGCUAGUAAUUACUAUCUUGUCUCAUCGCUACAACUCCCGUACGGGCUCGGGAGAGACGAAGGUCGAAAGCCAUGCGUCCCCCGAGGCACAACCCAACCAAGCCGCACUGCUUCUUUAACACAGCGUGCCUCCAACCCGGAAGCCAGCCGCACCAAUGUGUCGGAGGAAACACCGUGCACCUGGCCCCCUUGGUUAGCGCGCACUGCGCCCAGCCCGCCACAGGAGUCGCUGGAGCGCGAUGAGACAAGGAAAUCCCUACCGGCCAAACCCUCCCUAACCCGGACGACGCUAGCCCAAUUGUGCGUCGCCCCACGGACCUCCCGGUCGCGGCCGGCUGCGACAGAGCCUGGGGGCGAACCCAGAGACUCUGGUGGCGCAGUUAGCACUGCGAUGCAGUGCCCUAGACCACUGCGCCACCCGGGAGGCCCCUUACAAAUAAACUUUCUGAAGAAUGCUGUGGGAUUGCACUGCUCAACCCUUGGUACCAUCUCCAGUCAAUCAUCAGCAAUGACAGUAAGACAUGUUACCAAGACAUUCCUUAGCACAAUAAUUAUGGAUACAUCUAUCACCAGCCAUUUACACUGUCAGCCAUUUCUGAGUCAGUUUAAUUUACAGAAUGAAACAUGACUGAACUAUCUCAUGUAAUCUGGUAAACAACACAAAAGCAUUCAGACAAUAGUCCAAUCAAAUUCUGAUAUUACAUACUUAUAUUACAUACUUUACGCCCCUCUCUAAUUACUUGCACAUUGAUGAAUAUCACCUGUGUGCAUAAAUGAAAGCGAAACAUUGACCUAUUUUCAUCCAGUUUAGCCAUGGCUUGGCACUGCCCCUUCUCUGUGAACUUGAGCAUGGAACAAAGCAGGGAGUAAAUUGCUGCCAGGCUGUGGGGAUUAGGCACGGCACAAGCUACAGUCCCUCUAAUAAAAACACUCCACACUGUUAAUGUAACACAUUUGGAGGGUCACAGUUCCCUGGUGUGGGUGCUUGGGAUUGCUGGAUGUCUACGAGCCUCUAAGCACCUACAGGGGCCCUUCAGAGGUUCUCUGGAUAUUAAUGACAUACUCCCUUGUGUAAGAGAUCAGACGUCAAAACUAUUACCAGGUGCAGCUGGCCUCCAUACACGAGUGAGCAGGAUUGGCAGAGAUGAGUGGGCAAGAUCUCCACUUCUAUAUUAUAACACCAACAAAUGGCUUUUUCUCUAGGCUUCCACUCUUACCUUUGGAUGGACCUAGUCAAGACUAGAGAAAAGUGAGCGUGUGAGUGAGUAUGAGCAAGUGAAUGAGUGUGUGAGAGAGAGGAGGAUGUGGUGGUUCAUAAAUAUUAGGGCUGUCAAGUGAUAUUUUGUUAAUCGUUAAUCGCAGGAUUUGCUGUGAUUAAUCGCAAAUUCAGAAUUUUCUAAAUUUGAGCUGUAAUGUAAGAUUUUGUAUACAAAAAGCAUUACAAGAAUAUUAACAUCUUGAUUUUGUCCAAAGUAGCAGUUUGCAAAAUCAGGUAAAUUGAUAAACAACUCUUUCUUUAGCCUCAAUGUCAACUUGUUUUGACAUCGCAUUGUUGUUUUUACAGUACAUGUAUAGAUUAUGUAUUGUGGACGUUUUCUGUGUAUUUUAAACACUUUCAGACAAUGCAGUUAAUCACAAAAAAUGUGUUCACUAAAAUUACAAAAAGUAACUCGAGUUAACUGAUUAAUCCGAAAGCCCUAAUAAAUAAAGUGUCUUCAGAAAGUA